RNAcentral lists this long non-coding RNA (948 nucleotides) under Vitis vinifera (wine grape). RNAcentral describes it as "long non-coding RNA (VVIN_LNC005265)". The record is from RNAcentral. Lineage: Eukaryota; Viridiplantae; Streptophyta; Magnoliopsida; Vitales; Vitaceae.
GAAAGGUGUUGUGGGUGUAAAUGAGAAAGGAGUAGUGAUAAACCUAAUCCCACUCUUUGGCUUGGGCUCAACACGAAGGGGCAAGGGAACCGUUGCCGGUGAAGAAUCUGCUAAACUUGCAGCUUUGUGCCAGUUAAUUAAGGAAGAGAAAGAGACCAUACUCUGGUUUCCAAGGGUCAUGCACAGAAGAUAACCUAGCCUACACAAUGGACUUUCUUAAAUGAAUCUAAUUACUUCUAGUUGUUUAGAAACCCUAUUAAAGGGUACUUUAUUUUCACAGCACUUGAAAACACAACUCUGAUAUAUAAAUUAAAGAAAUCACCUAGAGCUUCAUUGGUAUUAAGUUUCUCAUCACUCAUAGGGUACUUGAAAACCACAUUAAAAUAGUCUGAUUUGAUUUCUUCAUAUUAAGUUUCUCAUCACUCAUAGAGUACUUGAAAACCACAUUAGAAUAGUCUGAUUUGAUUUCUUCAACUUUUACACAUGACUCUAUAAAUGAAUCCCCUAAAGCUUCAUUGUACUAAGUAAACUAAACCAGCUACAUCAUCACAAUAAAGAAGCAGCCACUCUCAUUUUCAGGAUAUCACUUUCCGCAAAAAACAUCAUCACAUUUCAUACUUUUUUUUGCAAUAAAAUUUGCAUGCCAGAACAUUACGAGCUAUCUCAACCCCAAUGACACAGCCACCCUAAUGUACACAGUUGCAAAUCUAAAGGCACACGAAAGGAUAUCUUAAAUGCAGCAAAGGCACGCUUCUCUGUGCGGCGUAAAAGGCGUUCUGCAUCCUCCUCAGCCUCCAUCUGCUCCUUGAGAUAGAGUAGAUCAUCACUGUCCAAUGCUGCAUAUUCAAACUUAACCAAAAUUCAAAAAAAAACAAAAAAAAACUAAAGGUAUAUAUUGAAGGAAAAAGGAACCAAAAACCCAGCCAGAGAGAGGCAGAGACAGUACCG